UGGGGAAUAUUGCACAAUGGGCGAAAGCCUGAUGCAGCAACGCCGCGUGAGCGAUGAAGGCCUUCGGGUCGUAAAGCUCUGUCCUCAAGGAAGAUAAUGACGGUACUUGAGGAGGAAGCCCCGGCUAACUACGUGCCAGCAGCCGUGGUAAUCGCUCACU
Molecule: ribosomal RNA, 160 nt
Filed under: uncultured bacterium
Lineage: Bacteria
Description: partial 16S ribosomal RNA
Rfam family: Bacterial small subunit ribosomal RNA
Source: RNAcentral